This 1196-nucleotide ribosomal RNA is filed under the name endosymbiont of Pediculus capitis. RNAcentral describes it as "bacterial SSU rRNA". It matches the Rfam family "Bacterial small subunit ribosomal RNA", at positions 63 to 1233 of the family's 1533-position model. Lineage: Bacteria; Pseudomonadati; Pseudomonadota; Gammaproteobacteria; Enterobacterales; Enterobacteriaceae. The record is from RNAcentral.
CGUGCGAAAUGAUGAAAAUCAUUUAGCGGCGGACGGGUGAGUAAGAUAUGGGAAUCUACCUAAAGAUGGGGGAUAACUAUCGGAAACGGUAGCUAAUACCGCGUAAGCUCUCGAUAAGGAAACUGAUCGUGAGGAAAGCGGGGGAUAUGUCAUAAUCAUCGAUAUACCUCGCGUCUUUAGAUGAGCCCAUACGAGAUUAGCUAGUAGGUGAGGUAAAAGCUCACCUAGGCAACAAUCUCUAGCUGGUCUGAGAGGACGACCAGCCACACUGGGACUGAGAUACGGCCCAGACUCCUACGGGAGGCAGCAGUGGGGAAUAUUGCACAAUGAGCGAAAGCUUGAUGCAGCUAUGCCGCGUGUAUGAAGAAGGCCCUAGGGUUGUAAAGUACUUUCAGUUGCGAAGAAAAAGAUGAAGAUAACACCUUCUUCGGAUGACGUUAGCAACAGAAGAAGCACCGGCUAACUCCGUGCCAGCAGCCGCGGUAAUACGGAGGGUGCGAGCGUUAAUCGGAAUUACUGGGCGUAAAGGGCACGCAGGUGGUAAGUUAAGUUGAUUUGUGAAAUCCCUGGGCUCAACCUAGGAAAGCAUUCAAAACUAAUUUACUAGAGUCUUGUAGGGGGGAAUAGAAUUCCAUGUGUAGCGGUGAAAUGCGUAGAGAUAUGGAGGAAUACCGAUGGCGAAGGCAAUUCCCUGGACAAAGACUGACACUCAUGUGCGAAAGCAUGGGGAGCAAACAGGAUUAGAUACCCUGGUAGUCCAUGCCGUAAACGAUGUCGAUUAGGAGGUUGCUACGUUUAAGUAGUGGCUUCCGAAGCUAACGCAUUAAAUCGACCGUCUGGGGAGUACGGCCGCAAGGUUAAAACUCAAAUGAAUUGACGGGGGCCCGCACAAGCGGUGGAGCAUGUGGUUUAAUUCGAUGCAACGCGAAAAACCUUACCUACUCUUGACAUCCAAAGAAAUCUGCAGAGAUGUAGAUGUGCCUUCGGGAACUUUGAGACAGGUGCUGCAUGGCUGUCGUCAGCUCGUGUUGUGAAAUGUUGGGUUAAGUCCCGCAACGAGCGCAACCCUUAUUCUUUGUUGCCAUCGAUUCGGUCGGGAACUCAAAGAAGACUGCCGGUGAUAAACCGGAGGAAGGAGAGGACGACGUCAAGUCAUCAUGGCCCUUACGAGUAGGGCUACACACGUGCUACAAUGG